AACUUUCAACAACGGAUCACUUGGCUCUCGCAUCGAUGAAGAACGCAGCGAAAUGCGAUAAGGAAUGUGAAUUGCAGAAUUCAGUGAAUCAUCGAAUCUUUGAACGCAUAUUGCGCUCUUUGGUAUUCCGAAGAGCAUGCUUGUUUGAGUAUCAGUAAACACCUCAAAGCCUUUUGUUAGUUAGAAAGGCCUUGGACUUGAGCAAUCCCAACACUUCUUUCAGAAGAGGCGGGUUGCUUGAAAUGCAGGUGCAGCUGGACAUUCUCCUGAGCUAAAAGCAUAUUCAUUUAGUCCCGUCAAACGGAUUAUUACUUUUGCUGCAGCUAACAUAAAGGGAGUCUGACCAUUUUGGCUGACUGAUGCAGGAUUUUCACAAGAGUACUUCAAAACGACUCUUGUUAAACUCGAUCUCAAAUCAAGUAAGACUACCCGCUGAACUUAAGCAUAUCAAUAAGCGGAGGCU
Molecule: unclassified non-coding RNA, 463 nt
Filed under: uncultured Mortierella
Lineage: Eukaryota; Fungi; Mortierellomycota; Mortierellomycetes; Mortierellales; Mortierellaceae
Description: sequence contains ITS2
Rfam family: 5.8S ribosomal RNA (bases 1-154)
Source: RNAcentral